GAUGAACGCUGACAGAAUGCUUAACACAUGCAAGUCUACUUGAACUUCGGUUUGGGUGGCGGACGGGUGAGUAACGCGUAAAGAACUUGCCUCACAGUUAGGGACAACAUUUGGAAACGAAUGCUAAUACCUGAUAUUAUGAUUUUAGGGCAUCCUAGGAUUAUGAAAGCUAUAUGUGCUGUGAGAGAGCUUUGCGUCCCAUUAGCUAGUUGGAGAGGUAACGGCUCACCAAGGCGAUGAUGGGUAGCCGGCCUGAGAGGGUGAACGGCCACAAGGGGACUGAGACACGGCCCUUACUCCUACGGGAGGCAGCAGUGGGGAAUAUUGGACAAUGGACCAAAAGUCUGAUCCAGCAAUUCUGUGUGCACGAUGACGUUUUUCGGAAUGAAAAGUGCUUUCAGUUGGGAAGAAAAAAAUGACGGUACCAACAGAAGAAGUGACGGCUAAAUACGUG
This 454-nucleotide ribosomal RNA is filed under the name uncultured bacterium. RNAcentral describes it as "partial 16S ribosomal RNA". It matches the Rfam family "Bacterial small subunit ribosomal RNA", at positions 28 to 507 of the family's 1533-position model. The record is from RNAcentral.